CCUACGGGCUGCAGCAGUGGGGAAUAUUGGACAAUGGGCGAAAGCCUGAUCCAGCCAUGCCGCGUGUGUGAAGAAGGCCUUCGGGUUGUAAAGCACUUUCAGUGGGGAAGAAAGCCCUGGGGCUAAUACCCUCGAGGAAGGACAUCACCCACAGAAGAAGCACCGGCUAACUCCGUGCCAGCAGCCGCGGUAAUACGGAGGGUGCGAGCGUUAAUCGGAAUUACUGGGCGUAAAGCGCGCGUAGGCGGUCUGAUAAGCCGGUUGUGAAAGCCCCGGGCUCAACCUGGGAACGGCAUCCGGAACUGUCAGGCUAGAGUGCAGGAGAGGAAGGUAGAAUUCCCGGUGUAGCGGUGAAAUGCGUAGAGAUCGGGAGGAAUACCAGUGGCGAAGGCGGCCUUCUGGACUGACACUGACGCUGAGGUGCGAAAGCGUGGGUAGCAAACAGGAUUAGAUACCCCUGUAGUC
This 465-nucleotide ribosomal RNA is filed under the name Vreelandella stevensii. Its description in RNAcentral is "partial 16S ribosomal RNA". It matches the Rfam family "Bacterial small subunit ribosomal RNA", at positions 338 to 795 of the family's 1533-position model. Lineage: Bacteria; Pseudomonadati; Pseudomonadota; Gammaproteobacteria; Oceanospirillales; Halomonadaceae. The record is from RNAcentral.